Molecule: unclassified non-coding RNA, 404 nt
Filed under: soil metagenome
Description: partial contains 5.8S ribosomal RNA, internal transcribed spacer 2, and large subunit ribosomal RNA
Rfam family: 5.8S ribosomal RNA (bases 1-120)
Source: RNAcentral
GAUGAAGAACGUAGUGAAAUGCGAUAAGUAGUGUGAAUUGCAGAAUUCAGUGAAUCAUCGAAUCUUUGAACGCACAUUGCGCCCCUUGGUAUUCCAUGGGGCAUGCCUGUUUGAGUAUCAUGAACACCUCAACUCUUUAUGGUUUUCCAUGAUGAGCUUGGACUCUGGGGGUUUUGCUGGCUCACAGUCGGCUCCUCUAAAAUGAAUCAGCUUACCAGUGUUUGGUGGGUAUCAUGGGUGUGAUAACUAUCUACGCUUGUGGUUUUUCCACCAGGUAACCUUCAGCAGUGGAGGUUCGCUGGAGCUCAUAGAUGUCUCUCCUCAGUGAGGACAGCCCUUUGAAUGUUUGAUCUCAAAUCAGGUAGGACUACCCGCUGAACUUAAGCAUAUCAAUAAGCGGAGGA